GGGGCUAUAGCUCAGCUGGGAGAGCACCUGCUUUGCACGCAGGGGGUCAGGAGUUCGAAUCUCCUUAGCUCCACCA
This 76-nucleotide transfer RNA is filed under the name Gammaproteobacteria bacterium. RNAcentral describes it as "tRNA-Ala". It matches the Rfam family "tRNA". From Rfam's summary of the family: Transfer RNA (tRNA) molecules are approximately 80 nucleotides in length. Their secondary structure includes four short double-helical elements and three loops (D, anti-codon, and T loops). RNAcentral also lists the same sequence under 3 other names. Lineage: Bacteria; Pseudomonadati; Pseudomonadota; Gammaproteobacteria. The record is from RNAcentral.